GGCUCCGUAGCUCAGCCGGAUAGAGCGACGGUUUCCUAAACCGCAGGUCGGGGGUUCGAGUCCCUCCGGGGCCA
Molecule: transfer RNA, 74 nt
Filed under: Sphingomonas jatrophae
Lineage: Bacteria; Pseudomonadati; Pseudomonadota; Alphaproteobacteria; Sphingomonadales; Sphingomonadaceae
Rfam family: tRNA
About the family: Transfer RNA (tRNA) molecules are approximately 80 nucleotides in length.
Source: Rfam by way of RNAcentral